GAUGAACGCUGGCGGCGUGCUUAACACAUGCAAGUCGAACGAUGAAGCCCAGCUUGCUGGGUGGAUUAGUGGCGAACGGGUGAGUAACACGUGAGUAACCUGCCCCUAAUUCUGGGAUAAGCCUGGGAAACUGGGUCUAAUACCGGUACGGCGCGUCCACCGCAUGGUGGGUGUUGGGAAGAUCUAGCGGUUUUGGAUGGACUCGCGGCCUAUCAGCUUGUUGGUGGGGUAAUGGCUCACCAAGGCAACGACGGGUAGCCGGCCUGAGAGGGUGGCCGGCCACCCUGGGACUGAGGCACGGCCCAGACUCCUACGUGAGGCAGAAGUGGGGAAUAUUGCACAAUGGGCGCAAGCCUGAUGCAGCGGCGCCGCGUUAGGGAAGACGGCCUUCGGGGUGUAAACCUCUUUCAGUAGGGAAGAAGCGGAAGUGACGGUACCUGCAGAAGAAGCACCGGCUAACUACGUG
This 466-nucleotide ribosomal RNA is filed under the name uncultured bacterium. RNAcentral's name for it is "partial 16S ribosomal RNA". It matches the Rfam family "Bacterial small subunit ribosomal RNA", at positions 28 to 507 of the family's 1533-position model. The record is from RNAcentral.